AUGCAACAGGGGGACACCUGAGGACACAGAAUAAAGAAGGACCAUGUGAAACUCAUGAAGAGGAUGGUCAGAGUUGUCCAUAGCUUUCUUGACUCUUAUGAAGAAUCCUUCUUUGCAUCAUCUCCAGAGGUUCCACAGUCGUCUCCAGAACAGAACCAGAACAAAUCCAGCCUUCUUUAUCAGAUUGUUGAGCCUUUUGAGGUUCCUGGCUCUGAUGCUGCUGCACCAACAGAUGAUAGCAGAAGAGAUGACACUCUCAGCAUCAGACUUAAAGAUCUGCAGCAACUUGCUGCAAAUCUUGAAGGAUCGUAGCUUCCUCGAGAAGCGCAGUCUGCUCUGUCUCUUUAUAUAGACGGCUUCACUGUUGCGUCUCCAGUCCAGUCUGUGUUCCAGAUGAACACCGAGUCAAGAUUAGAUGAUUGUUCCCACACCAGGCCACAAAGUGAUCCACCAGAUCUCUGUACUCAGCCUCUUGUCUUUCUCUGAUACACACAACAACUGCAGAGUCGUCUGAGUAUUUCUGUAGAUGACAGAAGUUGGACUUGUGCGGGAAGUCUGAACAGUAGAGAGUGAAAAUGAAUGGUGAGAGUACAGUGCCCUGUGGUGUUCCCAUGUUGUUGACCACCUGGUUAGACACACAGUCCUUCAGUCUCACAAACUGUAUUCUGUUUGUCAGGUAGUCACAGAUGCAGGUGAUUGUUGAGGCUUCCACCUGUGUCUUCUGGAGUUUCUAACAGAGCAGAUCAGGCUGAAUUGUGUUCAAUGCACCUGAGAACCAAAGACCCUGAUCCUCACUGUGCUGCCUGCUUUGUCCAGAUGACAGUGGGUUUGUUGAAGCAGGUGUCUGAUCAACUCCAACUCCAUGGCGAUAAGCAAACUGCAGGGGGUCCUGAUAUGUGAUCGUCUGCUUACUCAAGUGGGCCACCAGGAGUCUCUCCAGGACCUUCAUGAUGUGCGAUGCCAGGGCAACGGGUCUACAGUCGUUAUGACUGAUGGGUGACUUUUCUUCGGUACCGGAACCAGGCAGGAUG
Xiphophorus hellerii (green swordtail) is the source of this 1031-nucleotide long non-coding RNA. RefSeq lists it as uncharacterized. The transcript is spliced from 3 exons. The record is from RefSeq and is a predicted model, not a curated record. NCBI's taxonomy places the organism in Eukaryota, Metazoa, Chordata, Actinopteri, Cyprinodontiformes, Poeciliidae.